GAUGAAGAACGUAGCGAAAUGCGAUAAGUAGUGUGAAUUGCAGAAUUCAGUGAAUCAUCGAAUCUUUGAACGCACAUUGCGCCCCUUGGUAUUCCAUGGGGCAUGCCUGUUCGAGCGUCAUUUGUACCUUCAAGCUUUGCUUGGUGUUGGGUGUUUGUCUCGCCUCUGCGUGUAGACUCGCCUUAAAACAAUUGGCAGCCGGCGUAUUGAUUUCGGAGCGCAGUACAUCUCGCGCUUUGCACUCAUAACGACGACAUCCAAAAGUACAUUUUUACACUCUUGACCUCGGAUCAGGUAGGGAUACCCGCUGAACUUAAGCAUAUCAAUAAGCGGAGGA
This 337-nucleotide unclassified non-coding RNA is filed under the name soil metagenome. RNAcentral describes it as "partial contains 5.8S ribosomal RNA, internal transcribed spacer 2, and large subunit ribosomal RNA". The stretch from base 1 to 120 matches the Rfam family "5.8S ribosomal RNA", at positions 35 to 154 of the family's 154-position model. The record is from RNAcentral.